This 397-nucleotide ribosomal RNA is filed under the name uncultured beta proteobacterium. RNAcentral's name for it is "bacterial SSU rRNA". It matches the Rfam family "Bacterial small subunit ribosomal RNA", at positions 114 to 507 of the family's 1533-position model. The record is from RNAcentral. Lineage: Bacteria; Pseudomonadati; Pseudomonadota; Betaproteobacteria.
UGCGUCGGAACGUACCGAGUAAUGGGGGAUAACGCGGCGAAAGUCGCGCUAAUACCGCAUACGCCCUGAGGGGGAAAGCAGGGGAUCGCAAGACCUUGCGUUAUUCGAGCGGCCGACGUCUGAUUAGCUUGUUGGUGAGGUAAAGGCUCACCAAGGCGACGAUCAGUAGCGGGUCUGAGAGGAUGAUCAGCCACACUGGGACUGAGACACGGCCCAGACUCCUACGGGAGGCAGCAGUGGGGAAUUUUGGACAAUGGGGGCAACCCUGAUCCAGCCAUGCCGCGUGCGGGAAGAAGGCCUUCGGGUUGUAAACCGCUUUCGGACGGAAAGAAAUCGCAUGGACUAAUACUCUGUGUGGAUGACGGUACCGUAAGAAGAAGCACCGGCUAACUACGUG